UACGGAGGAUGCGAGCGUUAUCCGGAUUUAUUGGGUUUAAAGGGUGCGUAGGCGGACUGUCAAGUCAGCGGUAAAAUUGAGAGGCUCAACCUCUUCCCGCCGUUGAAACUGGUGGUCUUGAGUGGAUGAGAAGUACGCGGAAUGCGAGGUGUAGCGGUGAAAUGCAUAGAUAUCACGCAGAACUCCGAUUGCGAAGGCAGCGUACCGGCAUCCAACUGACGCUGAGGCACGAAAGCGUGGGGAUCAAACAGG
RNAcentral lists this ribosomal RNA (252 nucleotides) under uncultured bacterium. RNAcentral's name for it is "partial 16S ribosomal RNA". It matches the Rfam family "Bacterial small subunit ribosomal RNA", at positions 524 to 776 of the family's 1533-position model. The record is from RNAcentral.